Long non-coding RNA from Triticum dicoccoides, 1552 nucleotides. RefSeq lists it as uncharacterized. Lineage: Eukaryota; Viridiplantae; Streptophyta; Magnoliopsida; Poales; Poaceae. The transcript is spliced from 4 exons. The record is from RefSeq and is a predicted model, not a curated record.
CGCGCCCGCACCCAACACAACCCAAUCCCCUCGUCCCGCACGCCGUGCACACUCCGGUCCUCUCAUCCCGCACGAACCCUAGGAGAGAGAGAUAGGAAGAUGAGAGGGAGAGAAAGGGGAGAGGAGAGGAGAGGGAGGUACGGCAGCGGACGGGAGAGGGUGACUGGCCGGCGUCGGCCUGCGCCCCUCCUCGCGCACGAACCCUAGCUGAGAGACAAAAUGAGGGGGAGAGAGAGAAGGAAGGAGAGGAGGGAGAAAGAGAGAGGAAAGAGGAAAGGGAGGUGCGGCGGCUGACAGGAGAGAGGGUCAUCGGCCGGCGCCGGAGAGGACGGGCCCGACCUGGACGCGACCUGGAGGUUGGCGGCGGCUCGAUCCACUCCUGGAUCGGGAGCUGCAACAAGGCUGGGGCUCGGGCGCGUUGUACGGGAGGAUGCACUCCGCCUCUUCCUCAUGGUGCGGCGGACGGCGGCUCUCCCUCUUCUCUGUCGUCGGCGGCCAGCUCAUCCCACUGCCUCGUGCUCGCCGCUGACCAUGGAUCCGCCAUGGACGGAGGGUGUCAAGAGGGGAAGAGGGGAAGGAUGUCUUCGCCUUCACAAGCAGGGCUGGCGGACGAGCACACACGCAUGUCCUCUUCCUGAUGGAAGGCAACUCGAGCAUGGGAGUAGUGGCCAAGGCUGGGCACCAUGGGUUGGCCGAGGUGCUUCAUGGUGAGGAAGAGGUGCGCCAUCUUCCAAUCGGUCCACAGUUUGAAGCAGCCAGGCAGGGAGGACCAAGAAAACAUAGAUCUAUGAAAGAAGAGAUGAAGAACAAUUUUAGCUGAAGAGUUGAAGAAGACCCAGGUCUCUAACCAAUAGCGGCUUACGUUUCCUGGUCAUUUUUCUUUUGGAAAUGAAAGUUGUUGCUUCCUAGGUGAGCUGAGGUGAUAACUCCCUUCCGGCGCUGGGCCUACGUGUUCAAUGCUGCCCUCAGCAUCCCCUUCUUCCAUUGGCUCAUCGGCCCGUCAGAGUUCAGAGAUCUAAUACUCCGCACUGCCUCCCGUCCAUUUUCAAAUAUAUAUAUUUAUAUAAGGUUUAUCAUCACCCCAUGGAUCAUGUGUUGUUGAUUGACCAGGUUAUUGAGGUGGAGGUCAACAGGGUGAGGCAGAGAAGUGGAGUGCUCAUAAAGAAACGAAGGUAUGUAUGAAUAUGAUGGAUGCUUCCAUUGCCAACUAAUGAAAUGCAUGUCUCAUGCUCACGCAGCUGCUGCUUGGACUCGCCGCUGCCGCCGCCUCCAGUCGCUUCCGCCUAGGCAUCCCGUCACUAGCAAGCGGGUCUCUGCCAUUUGGCGCAACGGGUCCAUGAGGAAAAGGCGGUCUAUUUCUAGCUUAUUUGAAAAGCGCCAACAGUGUGUGCCACAUGUAAACAGUCCAUGUUGAAAGAAUAGAAGCAGAAGUGUGGAGAUAAUGUAAUUGGUCAGUCAGGAAAUUCAGUCUCAAUGAGCUCAACUAAUGACAUGUGUGGGUUGAGCGUGAGGUCAUUUCCAAAGUAACGGAAGUAUUUUACUUUCCUUUUCA